This 497-nucleotide ribosomal RNA is filed under the name uncultured bacterium. RNAcentral's name for it is "partial 16S ribosomal RNA". It matches the Rfam family "Bacterial small subunit ribosomal RNA", at positions 28 to 507 of the family's 1533-position model. The record is from RNAcentral.
GAUGAACGCUGGCGGCGUGCCUAAUGCAUGCAAGUCGAGCGAACAGACGAGGCGCUUGCUCCUCUGACGUUAGCGGCGGACGGGUGAGUAACACGUGGAUCACCUACCUAUAUGACUGGUAUAACUUCGGGACACCGGAUCUAAUCCCGUAUAAUAUAUUGCACCGCAUGGUUCAAUAGUGAAAGACGGUUUUGCUGUCACUUAUCGAUGGAUCCGCGCCGCAUUAGCUAGUUGGUAAGGUAACGGCUUACCAAGGCAACGAUGCGUAGCCGACGUGAGAGGGUGAUAGGCCACACUGGAACUGAGACACGGUCCAGACGACUAAGGGAGGCAGCAGAAGGGAAUCUUACGCAAUGGGCGAAAGUAUGACGGAGCAAGGCCGAGUGAGUGAUGAAGGUCUUCGGAGCGUAAAAAUCUGUUAUGGGGGAAGAACAAAUGUGGAAGGAGACAUGCACGGAGUGACGGUAACGGAUCAGAAAGCCACGGCUAACUACGUG